Molecule: long non-coding RNA, 2114 nt
Filed under: Sus scrofa (pig)
Lineage: Eukaryota; Metazoa; Chordata; Mammalia; Artiodactyla; Suidae
Description: lncRNA (ENSSSCG00025072301.1)
Source: RNAcentral
AAGUCUUAACCGUGAAGAAGCAGGUUGCUAGCACCCGCCUUUACUGCGGCUAAGUGUCAUUGCUGACGUGGUGGGCUUCCACCAAUCAUUUGGUUAUGGAACAUUCUAAAACUUAGGCAAGACGAUUGUGAUUGGCUAGAGGGCGUAAGCCCGCCUCCAGGGUGACGUGUCUGCCUAUGGAUAUCAGUUGCCAGAGAAACCUGGCUUUACUAUGGCGGUUGGAGGGUCGGCAGUGAUCACACGUCGGCUGCUGGAAAGAACUGGAUUCUCGUUUCAGGCUACCAUCAAAAAAGCUAAGUUUGCUGUAUAGUAAGGAUCAGAAGAUCUGAUCCUGAUUGCAGAACAUUGCUGAUUACAGAAUCUUGGGUUGUGUCUCCCACCUCAUCUUUCCCUACCAUCCCAGAAGAUCUAUAAGGUUCCAUCUGGGAAAACACUAGAAGUUCUUGGAAGGGAAAGAAGGAAGAGGAUUACGUUUUUUUCCAGAAUUCUAUGCUUGGUUCAUCACUGGCUUUAUCUCUCACCAAUUUAUCACCUCCUCCAACAAGCUACUGCUGAAAGUGGUGUUAGUGGUUGGAAUAAAAACAGGGUUGAAUGAGUUCCAGAAAGCAGGGUUCUCAAACUCGUGGACAACAAUCUGCAGAAGAAGACAACUUCAAAAAACCAACUAGAAGCAAUAUGCAGAGAAGUAAGAUGAGAGGAGCCUCCUCAGGAAAGAAGACCGCUGGUCCACAGCAGAAGAAUCUGGAAGCAGCACUCCCCGGCAGGUGGGGGGGUCGCUCUGCAGAGACCCCCCCUUCGGGGUCCGUGAGGAAGACCAGAAAGAACAAACAGAAGACCCCUGGAAAUGGAGAUGGUGGCAGUACCAGCGAAGCACCUCAGCCACCUCGGAAGAAAAGGGCCCGGGCUGACCCCACUGUGGAAAGUGAGGAGGCAUUUAAGAAUAGAAUGGAAGUGAAAGUGAAGAUUCCUGAAGAAUUAAAACCAUGGCUAGUUGAGGACUGGGACUUAGUUACCAGGCAGAAGCAGCUCUUUCAACUCCCUGCUAAGAAAAAUGUAGAUGCCAUUCUGGAAGAGUACGCAAAUUGCAAGAAAUCACAGGGAAAUGUUGAUAAUAAGGAGUAUGCGGUUAAUGAAGUUGUGGCAGGAAUAAAAGAGUAUUUCAAUGUGAUGUUGGGCACUCAGCUGCUCUAUAAAUUUGAGAGGCCCCAGUAUGCCGAAAUCCUCUUGGCUCACCCUGAUGCGCCCAUGUCCCAGGUUUAUGGGGCACCACACCUACUGAGAUUAUUUGUGAGAAUUGGAGCAAUGUUGGCAUAUACGCCCCUUGAUGAGAAGAGCCUUGCAUUAUUGUUGGGCUAUCUGCAUGAUUUCCUAAAAUACCUGGCAAAGAAUGCUGCGUCUCUGUUUACUGCCAGUGAUUAUAAAGUGGCUUCUGCUGAGUACCACCGCAAAGCCCUGUGAGGGUCUCCUGACCGCUCGCUGUUAUGUCUGGUAUCUGUAAACACUCUUUUUGUUCUUAGUCUUUUUCUUGUAUAAUUGAUGUUCUUUAAAAUUGUUCAUGUAUAACAGGGCUUAUGUUUCAGUUUGUUUUCUGUUUUAUUCUAAACAGAAAAUAAAAGGAGUGCAAGCUCCUUUUCUCAUUUCAAAGUUGCUACCAGUGUACACAGUAAUUAGACAAAGAAGAAACAUUCAGUAGAACAUUUUAUUGCCUAGUUGACAACAUUGCUUGAAUGCUGGUGGUUCUAUCCCUUUGACACUACACAAUUUUCUAAUAUGUGUUAAUGCUAUGUGGAAAAAUGCCCUGAUUCCUAGUGCCAAAGGUUCAACUUAAUGUAUAUACCUGAAAACCCAUGCAUUUGUGCUCUUUUUUUUUUAUGGUGCUUGAAGUAAAACAGCCCAUCCUCUGCAAGUCCAUCUCUGUUGUUCCUUAGGCAUUCUAUCUUUGCUCAAAUUGUUGAAGGAUGGUGGUUUGUUUCAUGGUUUUUGUAUUUGAGUCUAAUGCACGUUCUAACAUGAUAGGGGCAAUGCAUUAUUGUGUAGCCACGGUUUUCUGGAGAAGUUGAUAUUUUAGGAAUUGUAUUUCAGAUCUUAAAUAAAAUUUGUUUCUAAAUUUCAAA